GACCUGCAGAAUUGGAAAAUUAUUUGUUGCAUUUACUGUGAAAGAAGAAGUCAACUACUCCACAAAGUCUAAUUUACGCGUUAUUCCACCACCGACUAAUCUUUCUUUCCUUUUAGUUUAUUUGAUAGAUGCUUCUCUUUGACAAAUUAUUUUUUUAUUUACCAUAAAAGAGCCAAAUGUUUAUUAACAAAUAAACUGAUUAACCUAUCAGCCAAAUUAAUUGUCACCCCCACGGGCAUGUUUAAAAGAAAAAAGAAAAAACUAUUACUAUUCUUUUGUUAAUAGAAGGCUUUAAGAAUUUUAUUUUCA
RNAcentral lists this long non-coding RNA (309 nucleotides) under Ricinus communis (castor bean). Its description in RNAcentral is "long non-coding RNA (RCOM_LNC002930)". The record is from RNAcentral. Lineage: Eukaryota; Viridiplantae; Streptophyta; Magnoliopsida; Malpighiales; Euphorbiaceae.